Molecule: unclassified non-coding RNA, 335 nt
Filed under: uncultured fungus
Lineage: Eukaryota; Fungi
Description: partial contains 5.8S ribosomal RNA and internal transcribed spacer 2
Rfam family: 5.8S ribosomal RNA (bases 1-133)
Source: RNAcentral
UGGUUCUGGCAUCGAUGAAGAACGCAGCGAAAUGCGAUAAUUAAUGUGAAUUGCAGAAUUCAGUGAAUCAUCGAAUCUUUGAACGCACAUUGCACCCCCUGGUAUUCCGGGGGGCAUGCCUGUCCGAGCGUCAUUAUCGACCGUCAAGCCCCCGGGCUUGGGAUUGGGCGUCGUCCCCGCUGCGGACGCGCCCCAAAGACCUCGGCGGCGGCCCCGCGGCCUCAGGCGUAGUAGAACCUCUUUGCCGCCUGCAGAGGCCCGCGGGUCGCCCGCUCCAAGCACGCAACCUGUUGCAACCAAAGGUUGACCUCGGAUCAGGUAGGGAUACCCGCUGA